Long non-coding RNA from Paramacrobiotus metropolitanus, 574 nucleotides. RefSeq lists it as uncharacterized. NCBI's taxonomy places the organism in Eukaryota, Metazoa, Tardigrada, Eutardigrada, Parachela, Macrobiotidae. The record is from RefSeq and is a predicted model, not a curated record. The transcript has 4 exons.
CCCCAGAAGUAACAUACUAAUUACAGAUCCGAUGGAUGCGGUUCACUUCCCAAUCGCACGAUAAAGAACCGUAUGCAGAAAUCCUUCGAGUCAGUGGAACAAUCCCCUAAAAGUGUAUCAUUUCCCAGCGAUCAUGGAUAUAUUUCUGCCGGCAGUCAUCCUGCUGUUAUCUUAUCAAGCCCGGACAGCACACACUCUGUACUGCUACCAUCUACCACCCACACCGCGGAUGUUUGUUACGUGGAGGAGCGGAUUCGCCAUUCGCUGUCCUCCAAAUGCAGUGUGUUAUAAAUAUCGCGAAGUGAUUGGAGGUUUUUUAGAAACCAUACAGAAAGGUUGCACCUUACCACAAGGAACACGGGAUCCCGGCUGCGAAUGGACCGGCAAUGUUCUGCAGCGGUGUUACUGCAGCCGCAGCUACUGCAACAUAGGAUAUCGUAGCAGCCAAUCCUGGAUAACAUUACUAUUGUGCCUGUUUCUACUUUUCUACAUAUUUAUCAUCAAGGAAUAAAUUUAGUUCGUAUAAUGUUUAGCGCGCAGUGUGCUGCAACGUCCAGCUAUGGAUCAGUAUAAU